This 433-nucleotide ribosomal RNA is filed under the name uncultured bacterium. Its description in RNAcentral is "partial 16S ribosomal RNA". It matches the Rfam family "Bacterial small subunit ribosomal RNA", at positions 29 to 507 of the family's 1533-position model. The record is from RNAcentral.
AACGAACGCUGGCGGCAUGCCUAACACAUGCCAGUCGAACGAGACCUUCGGGUCUAGCGGCGCACGGGUGCGUAACGCGUGGGAACCUGCCCUUAGGUUCGGAAUAACUCCCCGAAAGGGGUGCUAAUACCGGAUAAUGUCUUCGGACCAAAGAUUUAUCGCCUUUGGAUGGGCCCGCGUUGGAUUAGCUAGUUGGUAGGGUAAAAGCCUACCAAGGCGACGAUCCAUAGCUGGUCUGAGAGGAUGAUCAGCCACACUGGGACUGAGACACGGCCCAGACUCCUACGGGAGGCAGCAGUGGGGAAUAUUGGACAAUGGGCGAAAGCCUGAUCCAGCAAUGCCGCGUGAGUGAUGAAGGCCUUAGGGUUGUAAAGCUCUUUUACCCGGGAUGAUAAUGACAGUACCGGGAGAAUAAGCUCCGGCUAACUCCGUG